CUUGCUCAAUAUUAGAGCUAUAAAAAUUAGGCAUUCUUUUUCAAUUUAGACAUCUCUAGGUCUUUUUACAAUUCAUGGAAAGAAACAUGCUUGUCAAGGAUGUGAUUCAUAUUAGUUCAGGAGUGCUAUAUAAGGUGAUAAAUCACCCUAUGCUGUGGCUUGUUUCUGCUCUACAAAAAGCAUAAGCUGAUUAACUCAAAUAUAGACACCUGCCUUUUACACCAACUGUCUCUAUUUAUAUCUGAAAUGAUAGCCCCAAAUCUGUGCCAGCUCCUCUGCUGGAAAAUGCAGGUGUCUGCCAUUUGAAAUCUGUGUCAAUCUAUGGCAGCUGAGAGCCUCAUGCAGUGCUUUGCCUUAGCAAACCCACCCCAGUGCUUCUGGGUCUUGGUCAAUGGCAAUGCCCUUUGUAGAAGGGAAACACAAAGACCAGUAUAUUAAAUAAUAUCUAUUUUACAAAGUGCAGUGAAAUGUUUUAUUUACCAUGAAGGCUACAUUUCAUAGUCCAGAUAUUCUUGUUAGAGAAAUUGUAAACCAAAUUACUUCCUCUUUCAGUGUCUCAGUUAAGCUACUUGUGCAUGCAAAGGUAGAUUUUCCAUCAAAUUCAGUGGGUGGGAGAUAAGGCUGUAUAAUUGUCCAAUAAAACUGUUGUCUAGAAAAUCAUCUAGAAAAGCUUUUAAGUACUAAACUUUGUUUCAAAUCCUCACCUACUCAUUGAUACUGUAAUUGAAUCUAGAAUCAUCUGCACCUGCUUCUGCUCAUGUUGGGAGUUGCAAUUGCUCUGGUGUGACCACAGAAGGGCUAUUGGCAAUCAGCCUGAAAUUGUUAAAGGGUGAGAGGGAGGUGCUGAGAGAAAGUUUGUAGCUGGCCUUUAGAGCUGACCUGGGCAUAGAACCAGGAUGUGAGUGCAGAGCUCCAUAAGCAGAGGACAUUAUAAGCUGCUAUGUCUCCAGGCUUUCUUCUGCCUAAUAAGGCCUUAGGCAUGCUGCACACUGCAGAGCUUGGAUCUCAAAGCUGGGGCUAUGGCAAGAAGUGCUGGAGCUGUAGGGAGAGUACUGCGUGUCCCCUUCCUUUCAGGAAGCCGGCGUAGUUUACUUGUUGGAGUGUGCUAUUAUCUGAGCUGCAAUUCCUUGUUUCUGAGUUCAUGAGUCUUACCUUAAAGCAAGUGACCUGUAACUCCUGGGUUUUCU
This 1187-nucleotide long non-coding RNA is filed under the name Cyanistes caeruleus (blue tit). Its description in RNAcentral is "lncRNA (ENSCCEG00000019322.1)". Lineage: Eukaryota; Metazoa; Chordata; Aves; Passeriformes; Paridae. The record is from RNAcentral.